AUACUGUCAGCAGAAUAACACUGACAAGUGUUGAUUAAACUCUAGAGACUGGGCUGUGAACUCUGACAUAAAGCAUACAACACAUUAGAUGAAGCAGUUGGUGUUUGCUGAUGGAGUGAUUGUGUGAAGUGUGGAGCUCCUCCCUCUGUCAGAGUUUCUCUUCUCUAUAUGAGCGUCUCCUUCUCUCUGAUCGUCUUCAUGUCUCUAAACUCAAACUGCUCCUCACAGGCCAGAUCAUGCUGAUCAUCUUCUACUGCUCUCUCCUCACUCUUCUGUCAUGUGUCAGAUGUGCGAAAGUGCUCACUCAGAAACCCUCCAUAAUGACUGAAGACAAGGGCAGAUCUGCGACUCUGGACUGUAAUAUUGAAAGAGAUGAUGGUUUUUAUUAUGUGAACUGGUAUAAACAGACUCCAAACGCAGCUCUUCAGUUUGUGUUGGGAUAUUAUCAUUCUCGCAGCUCACCUGAUCUCUAUGGAGAUGAUUUUACCUCCAGCCGCUUCACAUCUAAAGCUCAGUCAAGUAUUGACUAUAGUCUGAUCAUCAGUAAUGUGGAUGUGAGUGAUUCUGCAUUGUAUUACUGUGGGACAUGGGACAAAUCUGCUAGUGAGGGCGUAUCACAAUGAUUCACAUCAUGACAAAAACCUCCUCACUGCAUUCACUUCUGCUUUUAGACAACAGAGGAUACUGUAAGAGCUCGACUUCACAUUAACAGUGAAUGAAACAGAUAAUUUCAUGUCUUUAUUAUUUUUUAUUAUUAUUUAUUAUUAUUAAUGUCUAUUACUUUGCCUUUAUUUGUGUGCUGUUUGGAUCUGAACAGUUUCUGACUCAGUCUAUAUAGCAGUAUCUGCACAUUAAAGCGACUCGCUCUUUAUUGCAAAGACAGACAAUCAAAGUGAAUACAAACACUUAAUAAUGAUUACAGGACAAACAUUGCUCACUCUCUGUGUGUCCUACACAAUACAGGUGUAACAUCCUUUAAGGCUCUUAUAUCUGAUCAUGACUAGUGCAGUAUAUCAGUGACUCUCUAAUGCUGUGUUGAACUGGAUCUCACUGGUGAGUCUUAAAAUGUCUUAAAUUUCAAAAACUCAAUUUUAGGCCUUAAAAAGUCUUAAAUUGACUGAAAUAUUGUGUUGUAGGACUAAAACCAAUUUAAACAGGUCUUAAUUUUGUAAUGUAAAGCUAUUUAAUUGGGCCGACACACAUCCAAUCACUAAUAAUCCAUCACAAUAAGAGUUUAUUUAUUAACUGUUUUUACUAAUAUGGUGUAAUUAUCUUCCUUACAAUAACAUUUGUUUUAAAUGUUUUAACUGGGUCAUUAGAAAAAAAGUCCUUAGUGUUUAGCCUUGUCUAAGUCUAAAAUUUCAUUCAUAAUGAUUUUAAAAAGGUCUUAAAAGUCUUAAAUGUGAUGUGAUGAAACCUGUAGAAACUCUG
This 1431-nucleotide long non-coding RNA is filed under the name Danio rerio (zebrafish). RNAcentral describes it as "lncRNA linc-iglc3 (ENSDARG00000069839.6)". Lineage: Eukaryota; Metazoa; Chordata; Actinopteri; Cypriniformes; Danionidae. The record is from RNAcentral.